UUCCGGUUGAUCCUGCCGGACCUGACUGCUAUCGGAUUGAUACUAAGCCAUGCUAGUCUUUGUAGUAAUACAAGGCAUACGGCUCAGUAACGCGUAGUCAACCUACCCUAUGGACGGGGAUAAUCUCGGGAAACUGAGCAUAAUACUCGAUAGAUCAUAAUGCCUGGAAUGGUUUAUGGUUAAAAUGAUUCGUCGCCAUAGGAUGGGACUGCGGCCUAUCAGCUUGUUGGUGAGGUAAUGGCCCACCAAGGCGAUUACAGGUACGGGCUCUGAGAGGAGAAGCCCGGAGAUGGGUACUGAGACAAGGACCCAGGCCCUAUGGGGCGCAGCAGGCGAGAAAACUUUGCAAUGUGCGAAAGCACGACAAGGUUAAUCCGAGUGAUUUCUGCUAAAGAAAUCUUUUGCAAGUCAUAAAACCACUAGUGAAUAAGGGGUGGGCAAGUUCUGGUGUCAGCCGCCGCGGUAAAACCAGCACCUCAAGUGGUCAGGAGGAUUAUUGGGCCUAAAGCAUCCGUAGCCGGCUCUGUAAGUUUUCGGUUAAAUCCAUGUGCUCAACACAUGGGCUGCCGAAAAUACUGCAUAGCUAGGGAGUGGGAGAGGUAGACGGUACUCGGUAGGAAGGGGUAAAAUCCUUUGAUCUAUCGAUGACCACCUGUGGCGAAGGCGGUCUACCAGAACACGUUCGACGGUGAGGGAUGAAAGCUGGGGGAGCAAACCGGAUUAGAUACCCGGGUAGUCCCAGCUGUAAACGAUGCAGACUCGAUGAUGCAUUGGCAUAUAGCCAGUGCAGUGUCGCAGGGAAGCCGUUAAGUCUGCCGCCUGGGAAGUACGUACGCAAGUAUGAAACUUAAAGGAAUUGGCGGGGGAGCACCACAAGGGGUGAAGCCUGCGGUUCAAUUGGAUUCAACGCCGG
This 913-nucleotide ribosomal RNA is filed under the name uncultured marine archaeon. Its description in RNAcentral is "bacterial SSU rRNA". It matches the Rfam family "Archaeal small subunit ribosomal RNA", at positions 1 to 921 of the family's 1478-position model. The record is from RNAcentral.